Molecule: ribosomal RNA, 438 nt
Filed under: uncultured bacterium
Lineage: Bacteria
Description: partial 16S ribosomal RNA
Rfam family: Bacterial small subunit ribosomal RNA
Source: RNAcentral
CUACGGGCGGCUCCAGUGAGGAAUAUUGCACAAUGGGGGGAACCCUGAUGCAGCAACGCCGCGUGGAGGAUGACGCAUUUCGGUGUGUAAACUCCUUUUAUAUGUCAAGAAAAUGACGGUAGCAUAUGAAUAAGCACCGGCUAACUCCGUGCCAGCAGCCGCGGUAAUACGGAGGGUGCAAGCGUUACUCGGAAUCACUGGGCGUAAAGGACGCGUAGGCGGGUUGGAAAGUCAGGUGUGAAAUCCUACAGCUUAACUGUAGAACUGCACUUGAAACUUCUAAUUUAGAGUAUGGGAGGGGGGAAUGAAAUUAGUGGUGUAGGGGAAAAACCGUAGGAAACCACUAGGAAACCCAAAAGCGAAGCGGACCCCCGGAACAUUACCUACCCUAAAGCCGUAAAACCUUGGGAGCAAACAGGAUUAGAUACCCUUGUAGUC